GGCAGAAGGAGCCGGGCUUAACGCGGGGGGAGCUGCCGCGGAGGGGAAGAGAGGGGCGCGGAGCUGAGUGCCGCAGUGCCGCCGUCGGAGGGGCUGCAGUUCACUCAGUGGCUCAAGCUUCCUGUUUUUGCUGGCCUCCUCACUCAAGUCUACCUUGAGUCCUUCCCUCUGCGCACUACUGCAUGUCAAAGCUGGUGAUGCCGUGCAGAGCAGGAAUGAGGUAAAAAGCCUGACAAGGAGAUCCUUUUCUUGAAGAAAUUCUAACUGAAUCAGUAGGCACAGUUUGCAGUGAACUGCAGGGUAAAAUGAUAAAACACCACACACUGGAU
RNAcentral lists this long non-coding RNA (329 nucleotides) under Phasianus colchicus (ring-necked pheasant). RNAcentral describes it as "lncRNA (ENSPCLG00000008038.1)". The record is from RNAcentral. Lineage: Eukaryota; Metazoa; Chordata; Aves; Galliformes; Phasianidae.